Molecule: long non-coding RNA, 299 nt
Organism: Mustela erminea (ermine)
Lineage: Eukaryota; Metazoa; Chordata; Mammalia; Carnivora; Mustelidae
Exons: 3
Source: RefSeq, a predicted model, not a curated record
GGGGGCAACCGUCUCCGGCGUGCGCAUGCGCGUCGCGGCGCCCCCUGGCCGCGCUUGGCCGCCAAUGCAGCUCAAGCUGGGGACGUGCGGAAGACCCUCUGUGGAUGGCAAGAGAAUAUCUCCUCCCUCUCUAAGGCACAUGCCACAUGCGACUUGAGCGAUGCCGUGUCAAGGGAUUGCAUCAGAUCUGGAACAAGACCAAAGACUGAAGAUGUUGAAAAACAAAGGAAGCAGAGGAGAAAAGGACAGGAAGAGCUAGAAAAUACAACCUAAAUCAAGUCAGUCCUCUCCAUCCUGUC